CCGAGCACCACAGCAAGCAGGUCCCCUGCAGCCCUUUCGCUUCCGCUCCCCAGCCCAUCUUUUUUCUCUGUUUGUUUUUCUGUUCUCCCCUACGGUCUCUCACCAUCUCUCCCGUUAGAAGUGCGCCCGCUGCGUGUUGCUGCUGACGCUCCCCACUCAUCUUGCACCGUCGAUCCACAACUAAGCCACUGCGUGCCUGGCGUCGAGGAUGGCCGCCCGCGCGCUAAAGCUGUACGUGUCGGCAACGUGCCCGUUCUGCCACCGCGUGGAGAUCGUCGCACGGGAGAAGCAGGUCUCAUACGAUCGCGUUGCUGUUGGGCUGCGCGAGGAGAUGCCGCAAUGGUACAAGCAGAUUAACCCACGUGAGACAGUGCCGACGCUGGAAGUCGGCAAUGCGGAUAAGCGGUUUAUGUUCGAGUCGAUGCUGAUCGCGCAGUACCUGGACAACAGUGGCGCGCCCGCGGGCGCGCUGAUGGGUUCCUCGGCGGCGCAACGGCACCAGAUUGAGUUCUUCCUCGCACAGGUCGGCGAUUUCAUUGGCGCUGCGCACGGGCUGCUCCGCGAUCCGCUGAGUGGUGAAAAGCGCAAGGCCAUGGAUGACAACGCGGCGUACGUGGACGGGCUGCUCGCGGCGAACCAGACGACGGGGCCAUACUACUGCGACGGCGAGUUCACGAUGGCGGACGUUGCGCUUGUGCCGUUCCUGGUGCGGCUGAAACCUGCUCUGAUGUACUACGCCGGGUACGACGUGUUCUGCAAGGCGCCACGGAUGAAGGCGCUGUGGGCCGCUGCUGCGCAACGCGCGUCUGUGCGUGAGACUUCGCCGACGGCGGCGCAGUGCAUCGAGAACUACCGCCACCUGGUGCCGGAGAGCGCGCCAAUGAUGGGCGCCAAUGGUGGGCACGUCCUGUACAGCAAUCUUUUCUGUCCUUUUGUGGACCGCGCACGCCUCGCGUCUGAGCUGCGCAAGUUCCAGAUGCACAUAGUGGAGGUGCCGCUGCAUCCACAGCCGGAGUGGUACAAAUAUAUCAAUCCCCGCGAUACGGUGCCUGCGCUGUUUACACCGAGCGGCGAGGCUGUACACGAGUCGCAGCUGAUUGUUCAGUACAUCGACUGCGUGGCGACGAAGGGUAGUGCGCUGGUGCCGCGUGGGGACGCGGAGAAGGAGUACGAGGUGGGUUUCUUCGUGGAAAACGCUGGGUAUUUCGUUGGAGGACUGAUGUCGUGGAUCAUCCGUGGUGGCGAGGAUGCGAAGGCUGAGCUUCAGUGGGCUGCUGGCGAGCUCGAGCAGCAGCUGGCGAAGCACCCGUUUGGUGAGGGCCCCUUCUUCGGCGGCAAGCGGAUGAACGCUGGCGAUGUGGCUAUUCUACCUUUCCUGGUCCGCGCAAAGGCGUUUAUGCCGGAGUUUAGUGGUGGGUACGAUCUCUUUGCCCACUUUCCGCUGCUGAAUGGGCUGGCAGAGGCUGGCAUGGCGACACCGGAGGCGAAGUCGGUGUUUCGUACACUGGAGGAGUACAAGGAGCACAUCCGUAAGCGUCAACGGAGGGCCCAGAGCGGGUAAAGGCUCGUCGAGGGGAUCGACGUGCCGACCAUGCGAGGCUAUUUGUUUUUGAGCUGCGCAUCUGAUCAUGCAUGUCUCUGUGCCGAUCUCUGUGAUUAUCUCUGUGAGCGGUGUGCUCUACCAAAGCGGAUUUCGGCUGCGAGGCUGCCAUCGGCUCCAAAAUCGCACGUUAGUCGUAGUUUGUCUUCCUAAAACUGAAGCGCAUGCACACCAACGCGAGUGAGGUUGGGCGGAGAUGGGGAAGGUACCACCUGAGGGCGAGUAGCGGAGAAGCGUGUCGUCUUGGGCGCCGUUCUGUGUCUCGUAGCGACUUGUAUGCUCAUGUGAUGCGAGGUUUUGUUUUCUUUUUUGAACUGUUAUCGUGUUCACUGCCGGUUCGCGGGCCUCAUGUUCGGCAACGUUCUAGUUUUUUUCGCUGCUGUGGGACGUGGGCGACUGCGGCAAAGCAUGUCGUCGUGCUGAGCUUUUUUCGCGUAUGCUCAACUUUCCGCGAGUGUGUGGCGGACAUGCACUUUGGUAGUCUCGCGUGUUUGCGUCGAGGUGUCGUGCGGGGCAACGUGAGUGUUGGUGAAGUCGAAUGACGCGCCCGUUGCCAGCUAGUUGCCGCACGCCAGGUGCCGCUCGCGUAUGCGCUAGUUUUUACACGACGCCGGCGGCGCGUGCAUUGUGCCUGCCGGUUUUAUUUCCUCUGUAUUUCUUUCGUCUUGUUUCCCCUCAUGUCACCGUCCCCCAGCUGCCCUGCGCACACCUCCCCCACACUUCCGUGAGCGACCUGACUCACCCCUUCCCUCUCUCUCUGUGGAUUACGCCCUGCUUCACGUCCCGCCACGUGCGGGGGCCGUAUGUGCUUGGUGCAGGCGGUCUGUUGUGAGAGUGAUGUACGGCUGCACUCACCAGCGCGGAGGAGGAGGGUGUGGGCUUGCAAUGCUUCUUUUUCUUUGAAUAUUCUCGAUUUUGUGUGCCGUUUUAUCAGCACAGGCACAGAGGACUACUACAUUCCCUCCCUCCCCCUCUCUCCACACAAAUGGGGAAGGCUCGUGGCGGUGGGCACAUCAUUUGCUGGUGUCGUGCUCACGCGUGCAUGUAUGUGCCGGUGCGCUUGCCCGCUUGUUUUUACCUCUGGUGGCGAGGGCUGUCUGCGACGUGGCUUUCAAAAGCGUUGCUGAUGCCCCUGCACCACUUUCCUCUCAUAGAGACCGGGAGUGUGGCGCACGACCAGUAAGAG
RNAcentral lists this unclassified non-coding RNA (2786 nucleotides) under Leishmania donovani. RNAcentral describes it as "gene:LdHU3.33.0310(CDS-product:thiol-dependent_re ductase_1)". Lineage: Eukaryota; Euglenozoa; Kinetoplastea; Trypanosomatida; Trypanosomatidae. The record is from RNAcentral.